RNAcentral lists this ribosomal RNA (292 nucleotides) under uncultured bacterium. Its description in RNAcentral is "partial 16S ribosomal RNA". It matches the Rfam family "Bacterial small subunit ribosomal RNA", at positions 505 to 796 of the family's 1533-position model. The record is from RNAcentral.
GUGUCAGCCGCCGCGGUAAAACGUAGGAGACAAGCGUUAUCCGGAGUUACUGGGCGUAAAGGGCGUGCAGGCGGCGCAUUAAGUCUGUUGUGAAAGCGCCUGGCUUAACCGGGCGAGGCCAAUGGAGACUGAUGGGCUAGAGGACGGCGGAGGGGUGUGGAAUUCCGGGUGUAGUGGUGAAAUGCGUAGAGAUCCGGAGGAACACCAGAGGCGAAGGCGGCACCCUAAGCCGUACCUGACGCUGAGACGCGACAGCACGGGGAGCAAACGGGAUUAGAAACCCUGGUAGUCC